Non-coding RNA from Schizosaccharomyces pombe (fission yeast), 422 nucleotides. The record is from the annotation of a GenBank genome assembly. Lineage: Eukaryota; Fungi; Ascomycota; Schizosaccharomycetes; Schizosaccharomycetales; Schizosaccharomycetaceae.
AUUUACAGAUAAUCAACCAUUGUAAAUUGCAGUGUUUUGAUAAUAUCUUCAAAUUUAUUCAUAGUCAUAAAUAUGAUGCUAAUGUAUUCCAAUCCUAUACUUGACAAUUUUGAAAUUGACAGCAGAACUCGCAAUGAAGAUAAAUUAAAACGACUAUAGCUCCGAUCAUCCGAAAAAAUAACAAGACUAAUCGCAAGACUAUUUUUUUUAUUCAUACAUAAAUAAAACAGGCAUCACCCAAUCCAGCAAUCAUUUCAUUAACAACCUUUGGAGACUUUUUCAAUGUGACACACAAUUCAUCAAAAUGGUGCUUUCCAUCCAGCAAACCAAGCAGUUUUUUCUCUUCUUCGGUUAAGUUAUUCCUCAUAGUCCUUCGUUCUAAGUAUGGGUAUUUAUGCACACGAUAUAUUAGCCCUUUUAUA